UAGGGAAUAUUGGGCAAUGGACGCAAGUCUGACCCAGCCACGCCGCGUGAAGGAUGAAGGCCCUAUGGGUUGUAAACUUCUUUUGUAUGGGAAGAAACCCCCGAACGUGUUCGGGGCUGACGGUACCAUAAGAAUAAGCAUCGGCUAACUCCGUGCCAGCAGCCGCGGUAAUACGGAGGAUGCAAGCGUUGUCCGGAUUCAUUGGGUUUAAAGGGUGCGUAGGCGGAGAAUUAAGUCAGUGGUGAAAGCUUACAGCUUAACUGUAAAAAUGCCAUUGAAACUGAUUUUCUUGAGUUCGAUUGAGGUAGAUGGAAUGUAUCAUGUAGCGGUGAAAUGCUUAGAUAUGAUACAGAACACCAAUUGCGAAGGCAGUCUACUAAGUCGACACUGACGCUGAGGCACGAAAGCAUGGGGAGCAAACA
RNAcentral lists this ribosomal RNA (422 nucleotides) under uncultured bacterium. Its description in RNAcentral is "bacterial SSU rRNA". It matches the Rfam family "Bacterial small subunit ribosomal RNA", at positions 355 to 774 of the family's 1533-position model. The record is from RNAcentral.